Long non-coding RNA from Haliotis rufescens (red abalone), 2069 nucleotides. RefSeq lists it as uncharacterized. The transcript is spliced from 2 exons. The record is from RefSeq and is a predicted model, not a curated record. Lineage: Eukaryota; Metazoa; Mollusca; Gastropoda; Lepetellida; Haliotidae.
UGUGCAGCCUAAGGCAGCCCCGCGUGUGUGCAGCCUGAGGCAGCCCCGCAUGUCAGUAGGUGUGACGGAUGAUGUGUGCAGCCUACAGCAACCCCGCGGGUCAGUAGGUGUGACGGGUGAUGUGUGCAGCCUACGGCAGCCCCGCGGGUCAGUAGGUGUGACGGGUGAUGUGUGCAGCCUACGGCAGCCCCGCGUGUGUGCAGCCUACGGCAGCCCCGCAUGUGUGCAGCCUAAGGCAGCCCCGCAUGUCAGUAGGUGUGACGGAUGAUGUGUGCAGCCUACAGCAACCCCGCGGGUCAGUAGAUGUGACGGGUGAUGUGUGCAGCCUACGGCAGCCAUCAAUAACCUUAACAGUGCACUUCCAGAUAUUGUGUUAAUUGGACCGUAUCAAUCAUUAAUUCAUGUUUUGAUCUUUUAUCGCUUGUCUUCUUUCUGGACAAGACAUGUUUAACCUUUGUGAAAAGUGUCUUGAACAGAAAAGUAUAAAAAGUUCCAUUUGACAUAUCAUUAUUUGAUAGGCUUUGUCCAGCUCUCACAGUGUGAGUACUUAGUUUUAUUAAGUCGCUUUGGUUUUAUGGUAAUGUUUGAGAACUAAAGUAGUUUUAUCUUUGUUUUGUACUGGAGUCUCAGCAUUUAGUUCAAAUGCAUACCUGAAUCUUUAAGGAGUAGCCAGCUCAUGAGGAGUAUCUGUGAGGAGUAGCCAGCUGAUGUGGAGACUACUGGACCAGCAGAACCAUCCUUGUGUAGUUUUAAUGGUGUAAUGCAAGUUUUGUGAAAAUCUGCAUCCACUUCAAUAUAACAUGCAUCUAACAUACUGUCAGCUGUCACAUGAAACAGACAGGCUGUUCUUGCUACCUCAUAGCGAUGUGAUUGGUUGACACCUAAUAUGGUGGUAUGUGUCAAGACAUCUGAUUGGUUUAGUGUGAUUUGUUAUGAAACAUUACAGGUCAGUAUGGAAUAUUGGCCCUGAUGAAGAAACAGGGACCUGUUCCUUCCAAUGUUUCACAGAAUAAUGUGGAAUGUGUGAAGUGACUGCCUCCAUGUAUAGCUUCAGGUCAAGUUCUUUACCUUUGUUUUUACUGUUUUUAUAAGACUUUAUUUUGAUUCAUAUUCCCAUUAUUUAUUACUUUGAUUUUCCUGCAUGAAGGGGAGACAACUAGGAAAGAAGGUUCUGUUGUUAGGAAGCAGGAUGCUAGCCAGUUGAUACAGACUCGCGUAUCAACAAUAUACAUAAUAUGUCAUAACUUUCAAUAUCUGUACAACAUCCAAUCUCAUUAAAAUCAGAUCUUAGUUCUCGCUGCCGCUAAACAAAGAUCUGAGGACAUCCCAUUACCGGUCACGUCAGACCAACCUUUCGCAAACUCUGACCGACCAAUGGAGUUACUGACAAGAAGUCGACAUUAGCCAAUCAGAAGGCAGUUUUCCUGUGCUUUACGGCAUUAAUUUCAAAUUGGUGACUACGCUUCGAAACAUAUUUUGACAAAUUCUCGCUUAAAAAAUUGAAACCUGAACAAAAGAACGUUCUAGAAUGGCUAAUAUAUGGUCUAGAUCGUAUAGAUUCAGUCGUUAAGCCCAUAACUAUGGUUCGGAAUACCCCGUUUUAACGUUUUCGAGGCUGCAUGAUUAGAAAUUAGACCCCUAAUGGGAUGUCCUCAGAUCUUUGUUUAGCGGAAGCGAGAACUAAGAUCUGAUUUUAAUGAGAUUGGUACAAUAUCUAUCUGGUGGGGGACUCUGUCCAACCUGACAAUCUCAUCUGUUUGAGGUUAACAAACUUGCCUUGCCAAAACACUGGGACCUCAUCAAUAGUUAACUGUGUUCACCUCCAGCUAGGCAGUUGGCUGAUGUUCACUGCUUUCAUUAUUAAAGCUCAACAUUACUGACGUCUAACUUGUCUUCUAAACAUUACUGAAGUCUAACUUGUCUUCUAAACAUUGUUGACAUCUAACUUGUCUGCUAAACAUCUCUGACCUCUAACUGGUCAAUUGAUAGGUCACCUCCUUGAUUUCCUGGACUAACAAAUUUGCUUGGAUAGGUCAAAAUAAAAUGAAAAUAAAUUUGUGCAUCUGAAA